RNAcentral lists this ribosomal RNA (492 nucleotides) under uncultured bacterium. Its description in RNAcentral is "partial 16S ribosomal RNA". It matches the Rfam family "Bacterial small subunit ribosomal RNA", at positions 29 to 507 of the family's 1533-position model. The record is from RNAcentral.
AUUGAACGCUGGCGGCAUGCUUUACACUUGCAAGUCGAACGGUAACAGGCCUUCGGGUGCUGACGAGUGGCGAACGGGUGAGUAAUGCAUCGGAACGUACCCAGAGGUGGGGGAUAACGCAGCGAAAGCUGUGCUAAUACCGCAUGUGAUCUGAGGAUGAAAGCGGGGGACCGAGCAGCAAUGUUUGGCCUCGCGCCUUUGGAGCGGCCGAUGUCGGAUUAGCUAGUUGGUGGGGUAAAGGCCUACCAAGGCGACGAUCCGUAGCUGGUCUGAGAGGACGACCAGCCACACUGGGACUGAGACACGGCCCAGACUCCUACGGGAGGCAGCAGUGGGGAAUUUUGGACAACGGGCGCAAGCCUGAUCCAGCAAUGCCGCGUGCGGGAAGAAGGCCUUCGGGUUGUAAACCGCUUUUGGCAGGAACGAAACGGUGUCCGCUAAUACCGGGCGCUAAUGACGGUACCUGCAGAAUAAGCACCGGCUAACUACGUG